GGGUUGUGAGGUUAAGCGACUAAGCGUACACGGUGGAUGCCCUGGCAGUCAGAGGCGAUGAAGGACGUGCUAAUCUGCGAUAAGCGCCGGUAAGGUGAUAUGAACCGUUAUAACCGGCGAUUUCCGAAUGGGGAAACCCAGUGUGAUUCGUCACACUAUCAUUAACUGAAUCCAUAGGUUAAUGAGGCGAACCGGGGGAACUGAAACAUCUAAGUACCCCGAGGAAAAGAAAUCAACCGAGAUUCCCCCAGUAGCGGCGAGCGAACGGGGAGGAGCCCAGAGCCUGAAUCAGCAUGUGUGUUAGUGGAAGCGUCUGGAAAGGCGCGCGAUACAGGGUGACAGCCCCGUACACAAAAGCGCAUGUGCUGUGAGCUCGAUGAGUAGGGCGGGACACGUGGUAUCCUGUCUGAAUAUGGGGGGACCAUCCUCCAAGGCUAAAUACUCCUGACUGACCGAUAGUGAACCAGUACCGUGAGGGAAAGGCGAAAAGAACCCCGGCGAGGGGAGUGAAAAAGAACCUGAAACCGUGUACGUACAAGCAGUGGGAGCACAGGUUUACCUGUGUGACUGCGUACCUUUUGUAUAAUGGGUCAGCGACUUAUAUUCUGUAGCAAGGUUAACCGAAUAGGGGAGCCGUAGGGAAACCGAGUCUUAACCGGGCGUUAAGUUGCAGGGUAUAGACCCGAAACCCGGUGAUCUAGCCAUGGGCAGGUUGAAGGUUGGGUAACACUAACUGGAGGACCGAACCGACUAAUGUUGAAAAAUUAGCGGAUGACCUGUGGCUGGGGGUGAAAGGCCAAUCAAACCGGGAGAUAGCUGGUUCUCCCCGAAAGCUAUUUAGGUAGCGCCUCGUGAAUUCAUCUCCGGGGGUAGAGCACUGUUUCGGCUAGGGGGCCAUCCCGGCUUACCAACCCGAUGCAAACUGCGAAUACCGGAGAAUGUUAUCACGGGAGACACACGGCGGGUGCUAACGUCCGUCGUGAAGAGGGAAACAACCCAGACCGCCAGCUAAGGUCCCAAAGUCAUGGUUAAGUGGGAAACGAUGUGGGAAGGCCCAGACAGCCAGGAUGUUGGCUUAGAAGCAGCCAUCAUUUAAAGAAAGCGUAAUAGCUCACUGGUCGAGUCGGCCUGCGCGGAAGAUGUAACGGGGCUAAACCAU
RNAcentral lists this ribosomal RNA (1159 nucleotides) under Salmonella enterica subsp. enterica serovar Muenchen. Its description in RNAcentral is "partial 23S ribosomal RNA". It matches the Rfam family "Bacterial large subunit ribosomal RNA", at positions 1 to 1190 of the family's 2925-position model. The record is from RNAcentral. RNAcentral also lists the same sequence under 1 other name. Lineage: Bacteria; Pseudomonadati; Pseudomonadota; Gammaproteobacteria; Enterobacterales; Enterobacteriaceae.